Monodelphis domestica (gray short-tailed opossum) is the source of this 1086-nucleotide non-coding RNA. The record is from RefSeq and is a predicted model, not a curated record. NCBI's taxonomy places the organism in Eukaryota, Metazoa, Chordata, Mammalia, Didelphimorphia, Didelphidae.
CCUGUGGUGGCAGCUGUGGACAUGGGGUUUGGGAGCAGAUAGAAAAGCUUAGGCACAUGGUUUUAUUUUGUUAGAUAAUUACUUUUUUAUUCCUUUACUUCAAAUGUGGGAUUUGGGGGAAGGAAUUGUCAUGGGCUUUCAUCUGGCUGUUCAGUGACCUAGGAGAUAAAGAGCUGGGGCCUGAGUUGAAAUCCAAUCCCAGAUACUUACCAGCCACUCCAAACUUCAGACUCCACCACCCUGAUCAGUCAGCACCCAACAGCAAAGAGGCAAGAUCCAACACCAGCAAAAAGAUUAAGAUUUGCUGAAUGUUCAGAAUACGAUCCUGAUCAGAGCUCCAGGCUCCAAGAAGAGACAAGCAGCAGCAGAGUUAAAAAUGUCCUGUCUUUCCACACCACAUCUUCCUACACUGAUGGGGCAGCUUACAUGAUGAGUCUGUCUUCCCUGAGGACUCACAGGACUUAAAUAUGGGGUAUCUUUCCUUCCUGUCUCUAGUAGCUGCUUUUCAAUUUCCUCCAAAUGACUGGAACUUCCAGGUCAUGACAAUUUUCCAGCUGGGAAAUGGAAUUUAAUCAAGAUCAGGAACAAGACCACAAGCAUGAGGCAUCCCAAAAGGGGUAUAUAUUUGAAGAAAAAAAGAAGUGCUUUAACAAAAUAUAAAGGAAGGAAUCUGGAAUGAGGUUAUAUAUUAAUUUAGGAAUGACUGCUGAGGGUUUCCCUAGGGUCUAAAGAGAUGACUGUUGGACAGACAACAAUGAUUCUAGAAGUCCUCAAGAUGAAGAUAACUUGCUCCUCUUCAUCUAUUUGUUGAAUUCUUAAUUAACGAAUGGGGCCAAUUCAACGCUGGUUGACAAUGCCCAAGUUAGCAACAUAUUGAGGAAGUGUCAUUUUGACUCUUGACUUGUGCCUCUCAUUACUCACUUGUGGUCAUUCCAUGAUGGCAACACUUUGUCUUCAUGUUCAUCCAUGGAAGGUACCUAUGGAAGUUGAUUAAUAAUACCUGGGGAAAUAAUCCAAGCAAUAUGAUUUAUUAGUAAAAUGGGCAUAAUAAAAAGUCAGUGGACUCCCAGUUAGUCCAAAGACUGA